This 459-nucleotide ribosomal RNA is filed under the name uncultured bacterium. RNAcentral's name for it is "partial 16S ribosomal RNA". It matches the Rfam family "Bacterial small subunit ribosomal RNA", at positions 338 to 795 of the family's 1533-position model. The record is from RNAcentral.
CCUACGGGAGGCAGCAGUGAGGAAUAUUGGUCAAUGGUCGGGAGACUGAACCAGCCAAGCCGCGUGAGGGAGGAAGGUCCAGAGUAUCGUAAACCUCUUUUGUCAGGGAACAAAGUCGGGGACGUGUCCCCGGCUGAGUGUACCUGAAGAAAAAGCAUCGGCUAACUCCGUGCCAGCAGCCGCGGUAAUACGGAGGAUGCGAGCGUUAUCCGGAUUUAUUGGGGUUAAGGGGUGCGCAGGCGGUCUGUUAAGUCAGCGGUCAAAGCCCGGGGCUCAACCCCGGCCCGCCGUUGAAACUGGCAGUCUCGAGUGGGAGAGAAGUAGGCGGAAUGCGCGGUGUAGCGGUGAAAUGCAUAGAUAUCGCGCAGAACUCCGAUUGCGAAGGCAGCAUGCCGGCUCCACACUGACGCUGAGGCACGAAAGCGUGGGUAUCGAACAGGAUUAGAUACCCUAGUAGUC